This is a long non-coding RNA of Haemorhous mexicanus (house finch), 10266 nucleotides long. RefSeq lists it as uncharacterized. The transcript is spliced from 2 exons. Lineage: Eukaryota; Metazoa; Chordata; Aves; Passeriformes; Fringillidae. The record is from RefSeq and is a predicted model, not a curated record.
CCGCACGGGCUUGGACAGCGCGUACAGGUGCCGGAACUCCUCGUCAAACAGCUCCACAACCUGGCCCGUGAACUUGGAGAGGAGGUUGCGGUGAACCUGGCCGCACAGCCACGUGAAGCUGGAAGAAGAGACAAGCUGCCUCUAAAACCUUCAAGAAACCUUGCGACGUUAUGCAACCUCCUGAGGGGAGUGGUGAUCUAGAUCCACUGCACGGAUAAAUGUCAGAUACAAUACCCAAGGUAUGGGUGUAUGUUCCAUGGAAAGGAGUUUAGACCCCUCUUUUGGGGACCUCUCUUCCAUGCACAAUGCUUAAAUUCAGGUCUUGCCACGUCUUAUCUGCAUACACAUAAAUUGUACCUUGUACCCUGCAGCAUGCUAUUCCACUUGGUAACUCUCAGCCACUCCAAGUGUCAUCAUAAAGACUAGGAAAAAAGAAACAUCCUUUGUUUUCAUUUUUCCAUGAUCUUUCUGCAUUGGUCAAGAGAAACACUUAAAAACCCAACCUUCCUGUCACGUCCCAUACCACAAAGGAAGCUGCCACACCUGACAAAUGCUUGUUUUCCUCACUACAGAGAAAAUGAAAUUACAAACAUUUCCUACAGCAUUUCCAAAAAUAAAUGUAAUACUUUGGAAUAAAGUACGGGAGAAACACCACAAUAGUUUUAAUCCUGGUAGUUCAGAGACACACCUUAGGAUAACCCACAGCUUUUAAAUUAUUUUUCUUUUAUGUACUUCCCUAAUCCACUCAGCAAACAUAAAUUUGUGCUUUUAUAAAACCACAAGCCAGCUUGAUUGUGUUGUGCAGGCUGCCGUGUCUGAGCAGCAGCAGCAGCACCAAUAAAAUGAGCAUAGUUGAGAGAAUGAAAUGUAAUUACUCCCUGAACUGACCAGGGCUUGAGCUGUGCAGCAGAGGAUACGAAGCAGUGGUGGAUGUGAACCUGAGAUUAUUCUGUGUUGGCAAAACUCUGCCAUGGUUAUUCCUGCAUGACUUUAUUAGCUACGGUGGAUUUGCACAAGGGCUGCUGAGAGCCAGAUUUGGCUGUAGGUGUGUGCACUUAAAAUCUUGUCAUGUUUUGAUAAAACUCCUCAGUGGCACUGACAGCCUGAGCUGAUACUGAGGCAGUAAGACAAUUUACAUCUGCUUGUCCAGAGCAUUCCAAAGGAGGGUUGGGUUUGAGGUAUACAGUGAUUUUAUACUGUUGCUUCAGGAGCAGGGGGAGGAGUGAAGAAAUCAGUAGUUCAAUGCCCCUGGGCACCCAUGCAAUUUAUACUGUACAUUUUAUAACUGGACAUGAAGACACAUAGUAAGUUACUAAAACUCAGGUACUUCUCAUCCACUGUGCUCAAAUCAUUCUAAAUAUGGACAAAGCCUUGGGAGCCAAGGUAAAGAGCAAGCUAAGUCCCUGCUGGGUGUGUAACAUCUGCUGUACCAGCUCAACAUUGCCUUUAUUCACUGAGCAGUACCCUGUAAACCUUUGCAUGUCCUUACCUAACUGUUAAAGAGACAAUAGGUCAGGAAUAAAUUUAAAAUGCACACAAUUUUUCUAGGAUAUCUAUAUUGAAGGUUACAAACUCUCAUGAAAGGGCUGAGGUCUAAAGUAUCAUGUUUAUACUUUAUGUGCUAGAGAUACACCUAGUUUAUAAAAGAAAAUUUAGACAGAAAUAAAAAUCAAUGAUACUUGUAAAUGGCUGUUAAAAGCCUAACAGAAUCAGAGGAAAAAACCUGUUCUGACCAAUUUUGAUAAUUUACUCCCACAUGUAUCUUCCUGGAAUACCUGACAGACAAAUACUAGUUUGUGGGUCAUUGAUUUUACCUGUAACCCUUGUAAACAGAGAAAGAUCAAAUGAAUAGCCCAGAGAUUCUCCAAGAACUGAUGGCAAAUGGGUCAGCUCAAAGUUACAAGGUAAGAUCUUUGUGAUUAUAGACAAACACUUGUGGACUUGUUGUGUAGUGAGUCACAGCAAUUUACAGCCUGUGUACUUUGCUGGAGAACAAAACAGAACUUGGCAUAAAAGACUUAACAGGUUUUCAUUGCCUUAAUUCUAAGAGAAAAUGCAUUGUUUUGGUUUUAGGUUUUAUUUGCUUCUUAGUUUACAAUUCUGAGUGCUCUUUUGGGACAGGUUCAGAGAAGUCUGUUAUUGUCACCACCUGCCCAGAGGGAUCACUUUUCUCCCAGUUUUUUUUGGGUGAGGCCCAUCAGAAGAAGAGAAAGCACAAAGAAAUGAUGCCUGGCCUGGGGUCAACACAGACAGAUACUGCUCAGCCAUCUUUCCAGGGCUUUGUCCUAUGUCCUGUUACAGACCCUCUCAUUUAUGAUGUUCUCAAUCAAAUCCCACCUCUCCUAUUCAGCACAGGACUUGUUUUAUACUGGGUGUCCUCUGCACUGCUGGAGCUGCAGUUCACUAGGGAUGUUCUCAUCCCUGUGUUUGCAGUGCUGCAGUAACGUGCAGCACAACACCCAUGGAAUCUGAAACGCAAGGAAGGACGGACCGGGCUCAGGUUUGGGUCACCCCAGAUGUUCGUGUUGCCUGCUGGUGGAUAACCUGUGUGGGACAAACCUGCCCCACCUGAAGUGAUGCUCCUGGCAAAGCAUGUCCCUGUCAGCUGUUAGAUGCUGACUCUGAAGAGGCCAGUGGCUUUCAGACUGGCAGCCAGGGAGAUACUCAGUUGCCCCUUGGGAUCAAGGUCUGUGCUUUCUGCUGUUUUCAUUUUGCCUUCUUUAGGAACACUGAGCUCAUGCACUGUCUAAUUUCAAAGUCAUUUAAGAAAUGGAAUAACAGUUACCAUAGGAUGAGGUAGAGUGACACAGAGACAGCAAAAAGAAAUACUGCAUUCCAACCCCUCACCAUAGACACUGGCAAUAAAAAUUGAGAGUAUGUCCUGAAGGGCUAUUUUAUUUCCUCAGCCUGUUCCCCCCACCACUAUUACAACUAUCAUGCAGAGCUCAGCACUUUGGUGAAAUUUGGUGUUGUAUUUUAAAAUCUUUGUAUCAGUUUUAAGAUCUACUCCAAUGUGAUUUCCAACAAAUGCAUUGCAGAAGAUUUUGAGUCUGUUUCACUUAACAUCAUUCUUGUUUAGACCUGAAGAGGUUGGUGGAUAAGAUUUAGGCAUAACAAAAAUCUUUCAGGUUAAUCAAGUGAGAGCUAGCAAGAAAUGCCACAUAAACUGGUAGCCAGCUAUAACCCAUGUGAAUUGCAAACCGGUGCUGAACACACAGAAGUUAAAUAGUUUUUCAUAGUUUUAAAUACAUUUGUUCCUCACCACCCUCUCUGUUUGUGAGCUAGAUAUGGAAUUACAUAGUUUGGCAAGGUACUUGAGAUUAGAAGGUAUUCGACAGCAGUAGAGAAAGACAGAAGUGACUGCACAGAACUUCAGGUGUUUUUAGUGGUUUUAGUAUUGAAAGAGAAGCCAAAAGGAAGCUUCUUGGUCAAAGAAAAUAGAUCUUGUUCUGUCCUUCUCCCACACAUCCUUCACUUCCACUCUAUACAAGUCUUUUGUUGGACUUUAACACAUCUUUGACCAGGGAUUAAAAAACACCCAAAAUAACAAGAAAACAAUAAAAAAAGUCAAUUAAAAAAACCCCCAACCCUGAGUGUCCACUGAGUUGUCUGGUGGUUCAUGUGGAAAUGGAAUGAAAAGUGGGUGCCUGUGUUAGUGUACAUCUGAGCUCCAGCAGCCCAUCCCCAGAAAUUCACUUUUUCCUUCAUUACUGUCGUUCUGUAAACUUCCUGGUGGCACAGUUUUAUCAGACCAGAGGCAUUUAAGCUUCCAAAUCGUAAACUGGGAUUAAGAAAAAUAAUCGCAUCCUUUAAAUUAAAUAAUCACCUCUUGUAUAUUUGUACCUGGAUUUCUAGGAUACACUUGGUCAUUUGUGAAACAUAUCUAUGUAGCCAUGGUGCUCAGAAACUUCAUUUAUUUGAUGCAAGCUCAGUCUCCUGAAAUUCCCUGACCAGAGGAUCUAGGAUCUUACUUAAAAAUCCAGUUGUUGAGAUGCUAUAUCCACUACCUGAAAUAAUUAUAGCAGCACAAACAAAACAAACAAACAAAGAAAGAAAAUUUUUAAAAAGGGAAAAAACAAAGGUACAGCAGUUAUGUAGAUAUAUACUGCUUACGUGUUAAUGAAACACAUGGAAAAACAGUAAGUCUCUGAAGUAUUUCUGUUUUACCUUAAAUCACUAAAUUUGUCAUAUGAAGAACAAAUCCUCAGAUAAGCUGAGUGACAUAUGCUAAUUAAGGGAUCCCGAGGGAGACAGAAAUGUAUCAUGUCUCAUGAUCACAACACUUGAGAACCCUAACAAUGAGGAAAGCAUAAUAUUAAGCUGUACACUUUUCUAGCUUUGCCCCAGGGCUGCACUGGCAAAGUUGUUUACAUUAGUUUCUGAACAUUUAAAUUAAAACCCAUGCUCCAUUAAGAACUAAGAGCAGCUUUAAAGCAAGUUAAGUAGAUUUUGGAAAAAUGGCACAUAUUUGAAAACAUGAGGUGCUUUUUGUUAAACAAAAGCUUCUUACCUUACAAAGAUUUCCAUGUCAAUUUUUUUGGGAAGAAGUAUUAAAAAUCAUAGAAGAGUACCUAGAGAUGAAGUGCAAUGGCUUAUCUCACCUGUAAGAUCCUGAGAGCACAUAUCUCCAGUCAGAGAUAAGAAAUUUUUCUUGAAUUUUUCCUGAAAAUUUCCUGCCUGACUUGGCACAGUAAACUUCUCCAGUAACACUGCGGACUGAAAUAUUCUGUAAAUAAAAAUAAAACUGAGUGAAUGACAUGUCUUUUUAAUAAAAUAUCAGAAGAGGGAGGGCCCUCUUCCCCCACUGCCUUUAACUCUUCACUGCCCCAAAGUCAAAUUUCUUUAUGGACUCUCUGAUGUGACAUUUGAAGGUUUGUGUCCUGAAGAAACCUAGCCAAGGUUUCUAACUUUACGACUUGGCAGGGGUUACUUGUUUCUCUGGGGAUAUAAACCUGCAUGGAAGCUCAUGCAGAUGGAGCUGAGCUGUGUGACAGUAACUGACCCUACCCCAGCCAGAAGGAGCUGUGUGAGGAUGUGUCCAUAGCUGGGAGCAGCCUGUUGCCUUCCACUGACACCCCAGGCACAAUCUGCUGCAGCUGUAUACUCCUUUGAUUUACACUGCAUGUGCCAUGACACAGCAGGAUAAAACCUCUGCUCCUCCAAUCCAUCUGGGCCUGCAAGGACACACGUGCAAGGACACACUCUCCUUCAGAGUGAGGGUUUACAGGCAUGCAAACACUUACGAACGUGCAUUAUUAAUUUCAGCUUCUUUAUAUAUUUGGGAUGGAAUUCAGCUGUUGAAAACCAGGUGUCUGGUGUAUGUGUAAGAUGCCCUCAGGUCUCCUGUGUGCCCACAGCUGCCAUUCCAGAGGUCUGUGGCCUCUGCAGUAUCACCCAUCCCCAGGGAGAUGCCAUAGGAGCUCUACAGCAUCUCAAGCAACAACUGAAAUAAUCCCUAGGAGGGGUUCUUUUAAAGCCAGCUCCUUCUGACAGAGAUGAAGGCAGAUUAAAUUAACAGCCACCUAAAUUUGAGAGCUUUCAACAUAUUUUAUCAGAAAUGUGUUAAAAAUUUAAAAGCGCUUUAACACAUUUUAUCAGAAACCUCCCAGUGCAACCAAGCUAUGGCUAUGCAAAAGAGUUUUGUGCACCUUGUCCCUGUGGCUGCCAGACCACAGCUGCUGCAGAGCUAUUAAACAGAAGCAACUCCAAUGCCUAUGUUAGAUAACUCUACUAGGGAAAUCUAAGUCCUGUUUUAAGACUUCAGGGCCAAGAUUACUUUCAUCUGGGGACCUAAUGGAAAUGCCUUACAUUUCUAUAAUAUCCAUGGGAAAAUGUAGGCAUCUUCAAAGAGGAAUUGGGUGUGCUAACACUACCCCAGGAAAUCUCCUGCACCCUUUUAAUUAGAAGGUGGAUUGACCCUAGCAUAACCAUGCUUCUAGCUCAGAGUGCCUGCAGUUAGGCAGACAGCUCUCAGCCUAAGAGCUUCCCAGAGCCACAGUACCUUGAAGAGAUCCUCAGAAAUCUGCAGCUUGUCGCACAUCUCCGAGAAGAGAUCUACACUGCUGUGAUCGAGCAGCAGGUAGACAAAGACCAUGCGCUUGUUAGCUGCCUCCAGGAGGUCACAGAGAAUCUCAGUGUCUGUGAACACAUCCAUCACAAUGGCUAACACCUUCAGAAAAAGAGCAGAGGCAUUAGCAGAGUCAAUUUACAUCACUUAAGGUUGCUAUGAGGACACUGUGAUGUAGUUCAUUUGUUCAAAAAACAUUCCAACAGACAAAAGUAUUUAGUUACAUGUGGAUAUUUUUUCUGGUUUUCUCCCUAUAAGUGCCUGAUUAAUUAAAUUGAUUAAACAUAUUGCUUCAUUGUUUUAUUCCUCAUAUAAAGCCAAUAUAAUACACGACAUAUGACAAGAUGACACAUGAAUUUGUAGGUGAGAUUUCAGCUCUAGGAAAUAUAUUGAAAUACUUAUCAGAGAAUGAUAAGGAUGUGGCUAAAUAAAAGAUUAUAGUCCUUUCCACAAGGCUCACUAGGUGUCAUAAGCCAUGCACCUUUUUUUCAGCAAAAAUCCCUGGAUGAUGCUUUCUCUUUUAUGAUUUACACCUGGACAGCCCUGGCUUUAAAAAGCUUCACCCUGUUGUUGUUGGUGGGGUGAUAGACUCCAACAGCUCCAUACUUUUUAAAACACUUAUUUUUAAACUAACUGUUAGAAUUUGAUCACACAUCCAUGCUCCCCAGUUCACAACUGGCAGAAUACUGUAAAAGUCUCAGGACUGGGCAUAAAAGCCCUGACAACUAUUUAAAUGCACAGCCUGCAGCCAGUGUGGAUCAAGGGAACUGUAAAUGUGAUAUAAAACCAGUUCCAUACUAGAAAGUGCUGGUCUUGUCUGAUGUCUGCUAUUGCCCAUGGAAAGGGUCAAUUCAGCCCAGCUAUUACCUGACUUACCUUCAGGAGGUGGUUGUUUCUCCACUGACUGGAGAGGGAACCUUUGAUAACUGUGCUCAUGGGAUAUCACCUUCAAUCAAAACAAACUUUACAGCGUCUCUGUAGAUCUCUCUUACAAACUGCUUCCAACUUGCUCUGAAUCUUGCUCCAAAGCCUAUGCCCACACCUAACAGCAAGCUUAUUCCCCUUGCCACCAUGAGGAUCUCCUACAAGACCAGGCACAUCCUGUGCAGCCAUUGUCCUCUCCACAAAGCCAAACUAUUUGUGGAGCAGUGAGGAUCCCACAACUUCCUCCUGCUGCCAAAGCCUGGUGCUUCAGAAAGAGCUUUGCCAUGGCUAGGUAAGCACAAUUAUGUCCAGUAUCUCACAUCCACACUUCCUGGUAAUGCCCCAGCUCCAGACUAUUCUCUCUGGUACACCUCUUUACCACUUGUUCCCAAUUUGUAUUUCUGUACCUGACUUUCCUCUCUUACUUGCAGUACUCUUCAUUUCUUAUGCCCGAAUUUCAUUUUGUGAUUUGCACCAAUUCCACAAAUGUGUUAAAACUGUAGCAUCCCUUGGCAAUCCUUUGCAGUUUGAGAUCAUCCAUAAACACAGUAUUUAUUCUGUUUUUUAAUUUUGUAAUGCAUAUAUCAAAUACUAGACUAUCCAGGAUGGACCCUUUCCAGAUGAUAGCUAGCAACUGGUGCCAUUGGAAAACUGUGUUUACAAAAAGCAGUUCACAAAUUUACACUGUUAGUGUCGCUUCAGCACACUCUCGUAAUGUAAAUUAGAUUAUUAAGAAGGUCAUGUGAACCAUGGGUUUAUAUUACAUUUCCCAAUUUUUUUGCCUGCAGGUUUUCUCUUGAGACAGAAAAUUGGUCUGCAUUGAUAUUUUACCUGAUACUAUUUUAUUAUUCCAGAGACAUUUCUUCUGUUUCUACAUCUUUCUGAUGCCUCCAACUUAAAAGGACUGAUGUAUAAUUCCGCUGGCGUGGUAAGCACUUGUAGGCUUUGAGAGAGCAGUUGCCAACGGGGCUCCUUCUCCCCUGCCAUUUACACUCUGUGUUAUCAGGACCAGCACCUGCCCUUGCAGGGGAAUAACAAAGUGGAAGGAAUCCAGAGGGCUGGGAAGUCUUGCUGGGCAGCACUAUUGCAUCCUGGCUUGGCUCCUGACCAUUCCUGGGUGAAACUGCUGCUGCUCUUUUGAAUUUAUAUAAGGGCAAAACUCCUGGAUGAUGGUAAACACAGCCCUGAAGUAUCUUUUUUUUUUUUUUCCCCAGGAAAAUAAGAGAGCUGCUAGAACACACAUGACAUCAGUUUUCUGCCUCACCUCCAGCUGCUCAGUUCUUGGUUUCCCAGAAUGUGGGCAGCCUGGCUUUGGCUUGUGGCUGGCACCUCUGUGGCCUCCACCACCUGUGUGUAGUCAGAGGCAUCUGCACCUUUCCCACAUGCCAAGUUAGGCUGCAGAGUCUCCGCAUAGAGGCCACAUGACAUUUUAACUGAUACAGGCAAGAUAUUAGGGAUGAAAGGUCUAUUUUCUGGAUCAUUUCCUUCCUCUGGGGAUGGCUGCUGACAUACCAGAAAUACUUGCCUUUCUUUGGCUGCUCCUUCACCCACAUCUCCCACAAAUCCUCUCGAACAAUUCCUAGUGGCUGAGAGCUCACUUAGGCUUAAUUCUCAUUAAUGGUGCAGUGGUCUGAACAGAUAAAACCAUCCUGCUGGAGUGGUGCAUGAGAAGGGACAGAGACAAGCUGCCCUUUCUGCAGCACAUUUAAUCCACUGGGUGAACGGGAGGUUACAAGAGAGAAGAGGGAAUGGUUUUUCUUAAAAAUCUUGGUAACUGAGUAAAAAAAAUAAAUUUAAAAAGCCCUGCCUCUGUUCAACAACAAGCUCUUCACAGGCACUUUCUAGGGUAAAGCUACACUGCAAUGCACAGGGCUGCCUUGGAUUAAACACCAUGUUCACCUGACUUUGUAAGAGCAAGAAAGAACCGAGUGCAGAGGGAACAAAAAUUCUCUCCUCAUACCUGAGUGGUCUUGUGGAUGUACCGGCGUAUGAUGUCUCUAAUGUUGCUGUUCUUAUCUGUUUGGAAAUAAACGGUGGCCGUGGAUUUUUCCUUUAAAUAGGGCUUCUCUGCAGUAAUCCAUGUGUGGAGCAGAGCCGGCUCGCUGCUGUCAGAAAUGGUGGGGAAGUAGGUCCCGGAAGGCAGUGACCCGCCGUCGUUCUGCUUCGGCGCGGCUGCCCCUUCGGCACCUGGGGACUCCUGUGCAUAAUAAGACUCCCGGGCGUUAUCCUUGAUGUACUGAGCUUCCACCGAGGAGAGGAAAUCCACCUCACCCUCUUUGCUUAGAGUUUCGAGGUAAGAGUCUGUCCCACCAUCCAAGAAGGCAUCGGUGGCCAAUCUUAUGCUUUCGUUGUGGCUGAAAUCCACUUUUGUCAACUUCAGGGACUGGUUCUUGAUAUCCUCCAGCCUCUUCCUUAUCUUGCCCAUAUGUCUGGGGUGGUUCAUGGCUCUUUGUCGUAGCAGCCGAUCUGCCGAGCAGGCACCAUGCAUAUGCGUGCCAUAGGCAGUGCAAUCGUCCUUGUUUGAGGACUGCAUUCUGGCAUGAAAUCGCCUCGGCUGAACGAAUUAACUAUGAAUAAAAAUAAAGAGAUCUUAUUACCACGGGCAAAUUCACACUCCCUGAAUUUGUCUGAACAAUUAUCUUCAAAACGAACCUGAAGCUUGCUUCUCAGGUGCUGGUGUACUCCGGCAACAAUCUGUUUCCAGAUGGGACACAAAUGCAAAGCUGAUUAGAUUGCUUAUCUGAGAGGCACCCACCUCAGCCCCAGGGCGUACGAAGAAUUCGAGUCAAAUUUACCACAGCCGUCAGAUUCGAUUGUAUUUCCCUUCCUGUCGCAUCCUGUGAAAUAUGAGUGAGGAAAGCACUCAAGCAAAAGCAGGUAGGCUCCCAAGCAUCAUUGCACAAUCUUCAAAACAGCUUGAGGCUUCUCUGUCUUCCCAUAGUAUUCGUUGGGGAGAAAAAACAGCUCUGAUGGUGAACUGGAACAGAGACAGCAGCCAUGUCCAUGGCUUCAAAAACAGCAAAAAGGGUCAUGGGCUCUGUUCUGCACCUACAUGCUGCCAGGCAGGCUUAAAAAUAGAUGUGAACUUCGUCACUGUGCCCCGUCCGGUGUAUGUUGCUAUUACCAUAGACGAUUCACUCACUUAUUUCUUUAAAGCUUUGUGACUACGCCAUCCUAUUAAAAGAAAAAUACCCCUUCCCAAACAUCCUGAAUAUUACGUGGAGGGAGGGUUGUGAGCUAGCCUCAAAGCAUCAGAAAUACAAACACUCAUCACA